AUUGAACGCUGGCGGCAUGCCUUACACAUGCAAGUCGAACGGCAGCACGGGUGCUUGCACCUGGUGGCGAGUGGCGAACGGGUGAGUAAUACAUCGGAACGUACCUUAUCGUGGGGGAUAACGUAGCGAAAGCUGUGCUAAUACCGCAUACGCCCUGAGGGGGAAAGCGGGGGAUCGAAAGACCUCGCGCGAUUAGAGCGGCCGACGCCUGAUUAGCUUGUUGGUGGGGUAAAAGCCCACCAAGGCGACGAUCAGUAGCUGGUCUGAGAGGACGAUCAGCCACACUGGGACUGAGACACGGCCCAGACUCCUACGGGAGGCAGCAGUGGGGAAUUUUGGACAAUGGGGGCAACCCUGAUCCAGCAAUGCCGCGUGAGUGAAGAAGGCCUUCGGGUUGUAAAGCUCUUUUGUCAGGGAAGAAACACCGGCUCUAACACAGUCCGGGAAUGACGGUACCUGAAGAAUAAGCACCGGCUAACUACGUGCCAGCAGCCGCCGUAA
This 501-nucleotide ribosomal RNA is filed under the name uncultured bacterium. RNAcentral's name for it is "partial 16S ribosomal RNA". It matches the Rfam family "Bacterial small subunit ribosomal RNA", at positions 29 to 523 of the family's 1533-position model. The record is from RNAcentral.